Long non-coding RNA from Girardinichthys multiradiatus, 421 nucleotides. RefSeq lists it as uncharacterized. The transcript is spliced from 2 exons. The record is from RefSeq and is a predicted model, not a curated record. NCBI's taxonomy places the organism in Eukaryota, Metazoa, Chordata, Actinopteri, Cyprinodontiformes, Goodeidae.
UUUUUAACUGUGGGUAUUUCUCCAGCAGCUUGCAGCAACAGGUGGGGGAAGGGAGUCUUUCAAAGAAAACGGAAAAUGAUGGAAAAAUCUGAUACUUGGAUUUUCCAAGAUGAAUCGGGACAUCAUCUGCAGUAAUGUUCCAGUCUGUUGUGAAGAAGGAGUGAUCAGAAGAAGAUGAUCUAGGACAUAAGCAGCUGAAACAGGUUUCCUUCAUAGUAGCUGUGGGUGGAGUUGCUGCUCCUUUGCAUUCAAAAGAUUCAGUUUGAGGUGGUUCAGGUGUCUGAUCAGGAUGUCUCUGUGACCUCCUUGGUUUUCCAAGGCCAUCCCACAGGGAGGAGACUCCUGGUCAUAUCCAGAACAUACUAGAAGGACAAUAUAAUUCUUCACCCACAUAUGGAAAAAUAAAGUUUAUAAAAUUAAA